Molecule: ribosomal RNA, 1095 nt
Filed under: Triticum aestivum (bread wheat)
Lineage: Eukaryota; Viridiplantae; Streptophyta; Magnoliopsida; Poales; Poaceae
Description: partial small subunit ribosomal RNA
Source: RNAcentral
AUGGGGAGGACAUCGCCUUAUGUUGUUUCAUUUCUCGUAAGGUUUAUCUAUGGGGUUAUGCAGAUACUCACCAAAGUUGCUUUAAACCAAGGUACAAGUACAUACGUUCUUGUCUUCUACAGGCAUGUAAUAGCUACAAUGGUGUUACUGCCCAUUGCUUUUGCAACUGAAAGGAAAACCGCCCCACAACUGUCACACAAAGUCUGUCUGAAGCUAUUUGUGCAUGCAUUAUAUGGGGUGUCUGCUUCUCUAAACAUAGCAUCUGUUGGCCUCAAUUAUGCUUCAGCAACUUCCGCUACUGCAGUACAAAAUCUCCAACCAGUGUUAACUUUCUUUUUGGCUCUUCUGUUGGGAAUGGAGUCAUUGAAACUAAAGAGCUUUCAUGGGAUUGUGAAAGUUUCUGGUAUAGUGCUUUGUGCCGUUGGUGUUGCCGUACUAGCGCUAUACCAAGGACCUGAGCUCAAAUCCAUCAUCCACCACCCUCUUUUUCAUCACACAAGGCGAGUUGAUAUUCAUGCCUCAAGGAGCUGGAUAUUGGGAAUUCUCCUGCAGUCUCUUGCGACUCUACUGUUUGCUCUUUGGACAGUGUUUCAGGGCCCUUUGCUGGGGGAGUACCCGUCCAUGCUGCUUAACACGACCCUGCAAAUUGUCUUUGCGACCGUUCAAUCUUUUUUCAUGGCUCUUGUGAUGGAGCGAGAUUUUUCAAGAUGGAAGCUGAGGCUGGAUGUAGGUCUUGUCGCAAUCGUCUAUUGUGGAGUAGUUGUUUCCGCAUUUUCAGGUUACCUGCUGAUCUGGGUGAUUGACAAGUCCGGCCCGGUAUUCCUGGCCAUGACAGUGCCCCUAACUUUUGUUAUCACCAUCGUUCUGUCACUCCUCAUCGGAGAAGCAGUCACCCUUGGAAGUGUAAUAAGUGGCGCGCUGAUGGUUGGUGGCCUGUACAAUGUUCUAUGGGGGAAGAGGAUAGAGCAAGUAGCUCUCAGCAAGCAAGGAGGCAUUGAAGCAAAUGCAGCAAGCUUUGAUUUGGAGGAACAAGAAAGCGGCGCACCAGUUCCAUUAACGCGAGAUUCGGUCAAGCGGUGCGAAGGAGAAGACUGA